RNAcentral lists this ribosomal RNA (303 nucleotides) under uncultured bacterium. RNAcentral's name for it is "partial 16S ribosomal RNA". It matches the Rfam family "Bacterial small subunit ribosomal RNA", at positions 507 to 808 of the family's 1533-position model. The record is from RNAcentral.
AGCAGUCGCCGCGGGAAUACAGAGGGUGCAAGCGUUAUCCGGAAUGAUUGGGCGUAAAGCGUCUGUAGGUGGCUUUUCAAGUCCGCCGUCAAAUCCCAGGGCUCAACCCUGGACAGGCGGUGGAAACUACCAAGCUGGAGUACGGUAGGGGCAGAGGGAAUUUCCGGUGGAGCGGUGAAAUGCGUAGAGAUGUGGAGGAACACCAGUGGCGAAGGCGACUCUCUGGUCUGUACUGACGCUGAGGAGCGAAAGCGUGGGGAGCGAACAGGAUUAGAUACCCCGGUAGUCCCUGUCUCUUAUACC